ACUGAAUAGAUACCCCGGUAGUCCUAGCUGUAAACGGUGCACGUUUGCUGUAAGAGGAAUCGACCCCUUUUGUGGCGAAAGCUAAACGCGAUAAACGUGCCGCCUGGGGAGUACGGUCGCAAGAUUAAAACUCAAAGAAAUUGACGGGGGCCUGCACAAGCGGUGGAGUAUGUGGCUUAAAUUCGAUGCAACGCGAAGAACCUUACCUGGCCUUGACAUGCACGUAGUAGGAGCCUGAAAGGGUGACGACCUCGCAAGAGGAGCGUGCACAGGUGCUGCAUGGCUGUCGUCAGCUCGUGUCGUGAGAUGUUGGGUUUAAGUCCCGCAACGAGCGCAACCCUUGUGUCCUGUUGCCACCCGGGUCGAGAGACUGGAGCACUCUGGACAGACUGCCUCGCUUAAACGAGGAGGAAGGUGGGGAUGACGUCAAGUCAGGAUGGCCCUUACGGCCAGGGCUGCACACGUACUACAAUGCCCGGCACAAAGGGACGCAAGACCGAUAGGUGGAGCCAA
Molecule: ribosomal RNA, 513 nt
Filed under: uncultured bacterium
Lineage: Bacteria
Description: bacterial SSU rRNA
Rfam family: Bacterial small subunit ribosomal RNA
Source: RNAcentral